Molecule: non-coding RNA, 100 nt
Filed under: Paenibacillus curdlanolyticus
Lineage: Bacteria; Bacillati; Bacillota; Bacilli; Caryophanales; Paenibacillaceae
Also listed under: 1 other name
Description: Guanine sequence
Rfam family: Purine riboswitch aptamer
About the family: Riboswitches are metabolite binding domains within certain messenger RNAs that serve as precision sensors for their corresponding targets.
Source: RNAcentral
CGACAAACAAAUAACCAAUUUCGUAUAAUCUCAAGAAUUGGCUUGAGAGUCUCUACAAGAUCACCGUAAUGAUCUGGCUACGAAAAGACAGGGAUAAUUU